RNAcentral lists this ribosomal RNA (378 nucleotides) under Triticum aestivum (bread wheat). RNAcentral describes it as "partial small subunit ribosomal RNA". The record is from RNAcentral. Lineage: Eukaryota; Viridiplantae; Streptophyta; Magnoliopsida; Poales; Poaceae.
AUGCACUUUCCAGUAACAGCUUCGGUAGCCGGUCAACAUGAGCCGCAAAUGCCCGCGCUAAGCGCGAAUGGCCAGAUCUGUGCAAGGGAUGGUGGGUUGGAUGCUGGGCGGGAAGGUUCACUGCGGGCGUCGGAGCAUUUGGUUGGCAAACUGAACCCGAAAGCUCCUGGGUGGGACUCAGAGGCCUGCUUUGGUUAUUGGGGUGACAUAGAAAUGGUCGAGAGGUACUGGCAAUGGAGGUGCACGUUCAGCUUCUUUCUCGUAUCUAUAGAUAUGGAAGACCUUGCUGGAAACACAGUGGUGGAGCUAGGCCGGCAUCAGGCUCCAUGCCACCUCAGGCCAUCUUCAAGCACUAUAGAUGUUAGUAAUCUAGAAUAG